RNAcentral lists this ribosomal RNA (554 nucleotides) under uncultured bacterium. Its description in RNAcentral is "partial 16S ribosomal RNA". It matches the Rfam family "Bacterial small subunit ribosomal RNA", at positions 355 to 900 of the family's 1533-position model. The record is from RNAcentral.
UAGGGAAUCUUCCACAAUGGACGCAAGUCUGAUGGAGCAACGCCGCGUGAGUGAAGAAGGUUUUCGGACCGUAAAGCUCUGUUGUUGGUGAAGAAGGAUAGAGGUAGUAACUGGCCUUUAUUUGACGGUAAUCAACCAGAAAGUCACGGCUAACUACGUGCCAGCAGCCGCGGUAAUACGUAGGUGGCAAGCGUUGUCCGGAUUUAUUGGGCGUAAAGCGAGCGCAGGCGGAAGAAUAAGUCUGAUGUGAAAGCCCUCGGCUUAACCGGGGAAUUGCAUCGGAAACUGUUUUCUUGAGUGCAGAAGAGGAGAGUAGAACUCCAUGUGUAGCGGUGGAAUGCGUAGAUAUAUGGAAGAAUACCAGUGGCGAAGGCGGCUCUCUGGUCUGCAACUGACGCUGAGGCUCGAAAGCAUGGGUAGCGAACAGGAUUAGAUACCCUGGUAGUCCAUGCCGUAAACGAUGAGUGCUAAGUGUUGGGAGGCUUCCGCCUCUCAGUGCUGCAGCUAACGCAUUAAGCACUCCGCCUGGGGGAGUACGACCGCAAGGUUGAAAC